This is a long non-coding RNA of Dromaius novaehollandiae (emu), 539 nucleotides long. RefSeq lists it as uncharacterized. Lineage: Eukaryota; Metazoa; Chordata; Aves; Casuariiformes; Dromaiidae. The transcript has 5 exons. The record is from RefSeq and is a predicted model, not a curated record.
GAAGUAUCCAUCCAGAGAGAUCUACUCAGCCGACAGGAGAGCUACCUCUGACUUUCUAAAACCUCUUAACAACUCUGCAAUGGCCUAGCUGAUGGUUUUGAAUGCUUGGACUUGGCAGCCCUGAUCUGAGCCAUUCCCUUCUCCAAAGAGCCUGUGAGCCAUAAAAAGACAAAAGAUAAGCCUGCAGCCGUAUGGUGGAACCCUUCCAGAUCCAAGCCAGCCAGAAAAAAGUGAGAUCACAGACGGUGAGACAAGCCCCAAACCUCUCAGGUUUCUUCUGUGCCAGAGGUGGCUGGAGCUGGAAGCUGGCAGACCUGAUUCCCUUCUUCCUUAGUCAUCCGGAUUUUCAAGUACCCAGAACAUCCUCAUCUGAGAAUCAUAGGAACAAUUCAACUUGGAAGGGACCUGUGGAAGUCUUUAGUCCACCAUCCUGCACAGAGGACCAGCUCAGAAGUUAGAUCAGGUUGAAAGUUCAGACUUUGAAUUUGCUGUGGUUUUGGUUGUGACUGGUGUGACUUGUGCUAUAGCUUUGACUUAUA